UUUAUAUGAGAGUUUGAUCCUGGCUCAGGAUGAACGCCGGCGGUGUGCCUAAUACAUGCAAGUCGAACGCGUUGGCCCAAUUGAUUGAUGGUGCUUGCACCUGAUUGAUUUUGGUCGCCAACGAGUGGCGGACGGGUGAGUAACACGUAGGUAACCUGCCCAGAAGCGGGGGACAACAUUUGGAAACAGAUGCUAAUACCGCAUAACAGCGUUGUUCGCAUGAACAACGCUUAAAAGAUGGCUUCUCGCUAUCACUUCUGGAUGGACCUGCGGUGCAUUAGCUUGUUGGUGGGGUAACGGCCUACCAAGGCGAUGAUGCAUAGCCGAGUUGAGAGACUGAUCGGCCACAAUGGGACUGAGACACGGCCCAUACUCCUACGGGAGGCAGCAGUAGGGAAUCUUCCACAAUGGGCGCAAGCCUGAUGGAGCAACACCGCGUGAGUGAAGAAGGGUUUCGGCUCGUAAAGCUCUGUUGUUAAAGAAGAACACGUAUGAGAGUAACUGUUCAUACGUUGACGGUAUUUAACCAGAAAGUCACGGCUAACUACGUGCCAGCAGCCGCGGUAAUACGUAGGUGGCAAGCGUUAUCCGGAUUUAUUGGGCGUAAAGAGAGUGCAGGCGGUUUUCUAAGUCUGAUGUGAAAGCCUUCGGCUUAACCGGAGAAGUGCAUCGGAAACUGGAUAACUUGAGUGCAGAAGAGGGUAGUGGAACUCCAUGUGUAGCGGUGGAAUGCGUAGAUAUAUGGAAGAACACCAGUGGCGAAGGCGGCUACCUGGUCUGCAACUGACGCUGAGACUCGAAAGCAUGGGUAGCGAACAGGAUUAGAUACCCUGGUAGUCCAUGCCGUAAACGAUGAGUGCUAGGUGUUGGAGGGUUUCCGCCCUUCAGUGCCGGAGCUAACGCAUUAAGCACUCCGCCUGGGGAGUACGACCGCAAGGUUGAAACUCAAAGGAAUUGACGGGGGCCCGCACAAGCGGUGGAGCAUGUGGUUUAAUUCGAAGCUACGCGAAGAACCUUACCAGGUCUUGACAUCUUGCGCCAACCCUAGAGAUAGGGCGUUUCCUUCGGGAACGCAAUGACAGGUGGUGCAUGGUCGUCGUCAGCUCGUGUCGUGAGAUGUUGGGUUAAGUCCCGCAACGAGCGCAACCCUUGUUACUAGUUGCCAGCAUUAAGUUGGGCACUCUAGUGAGACUGCCGGUGACAAACCGGAGGAAGGUGGGGACGACGUCAGAUCAUCAUGCCCCUUAUGACCUGGGCUACACACGUGCUACAAUGGACGGUACAACGAGUCGCGAACUCGCGAGGGCAAGCAAAUCUCUUAAAACCGUUCUCAGUUCGGACUGCAGGCUGCAACUCGCCUGCACGAAGUCGGAAUCGCUAGUAAUCGCGGAUCAGCAUGCCGCGGUGAAUACGUUCCCGGGCCUUGUACACACCGCCCGUCACACCAUGAGAGUUUGUAACACCCAAAGUCGGUGGGGUAACCUUUUAGGAGCCAACCGCCUAAGGUGGGACAGAUGAUUAGGGUGAAGUCGUAACAAGGUAGCCGUAGGAGAACCUGCGGCUGGAUCACCUCCUUUCUA
Molecule: ribosomal RNA, 1580 nt
Filed under: Limosilactobacillus fermentum
Lineage: Bacteria; Bacillati; Bacillota; Bacilli; Lactobacillales; Lactobacillaceae
Description: bacterial SSU rRNA
Rfam family: Bacterial small subunit ribosomal RNA
Source: RNAcentral